This 253-nucleotide ribosomal RNA is filed under the name uncultured bacterium. RNAcentral's name for it is "partial 16S ribosomal RNA". It matches the Rfam family "Bacterial small subunit ribosomal RNA", at positions 524 to 776 of the family's 1533-position model. The record is from RNAcentral.
UACGAAGGGGGCUAGCGUUGCUCGGAAUCACUGGGCGUAAAGGGUGCGUAGGCGGGUCUUUAAGUCAGGGGUGAAAUCCUGGAGCUCAACUCCAGAACUGCCUUUGAUACUGAGGAUCUUGAGUACGGGAGAGGUGAGUGGAACUGCGAGUGUAGAGGUGAAAUUCGUAGAUAUUCGCAAGAACACCAGUGGCGAAGGCGGCUCACUGGCCCGUUACCGACGCUCAGGCGCGACAGCGUGGGGAGCAAACAGG